UACCAGCACCCCGAGUGGUCGGGACGAUUAUUGGGCCUAAAGCAUCCGUAGCCGGCCUUACAAGUCUUCCGUUAAAUCCAGCUGCUUAACAGAUGGGCUGCGGAGGAUACUAUAAGACUAGGAGGCAGGAGAGGCAAGCGGUACUCAGUGGGUAGGGGUAAAAUCCGUUGAUCCAUUGAAGACCACCAGUGGCGAAGGCGGCUUGCCAGAAUGCGCUCGACGGUGAGGGAUGAAAGCUGGGGGAGCAAACCGG
RNAcentral lists this ribosomal RNA (253 nucleotides) under uncultured bacterium. RNAcentral's name for it is "partial 16S ribosomal RNA". It matches the Rfam family "Archaeal small subunit ribosomal RNA", at positions 474 to 727 of the family's 1478-position model. The record is from RNAcentral.